CCUGGGACUUUAAGUCCCCUGAAGGGCCGUUGAAGACGACGACGUAGAUAGGCUGGAUGUGUAAGCGUAGCGAUACGUUGAGCUAACCAGUACUAAUGACCCGAGAGGCUUAACCUUA
This 118-nucleotide ribosomal RNA is filed under the name Lonsdalea quercina. Its description in RNAcentral is "23S rRNA. Bacterial LSU". It matches the Rfam family "Bacterial large subunit ribosomal RNA", at positions 2814 to 2925 of the family's 2925-position model. The record is from RNAcentral. Lineage: Bacteria; Pseudomonadati; Pseudomonadota; Gammaproteobacteria; Enterobacterales; Pectobacteriaceae.